This 206-nucleotide long non-coding RNA is filed under the name Elaeis guineensis (African oil palm). RNAcentral's name for it is "long non-coding RNA (EGUI_LNC016827)". Lineage: Eukaryota; Viridiplantae; Streptophyta; Magnoliopsida; Arecales; Arecaceae. The record is from RNAcentral.
UUCAUAGUUUGAUUAGCUGAAAAUUAGGAAAUGGCACUCUCUCUUCAAAAUUUCAAGUACAAGCACAGCAAAGAAUCAAGCUACUAUUCUUGUAGGAACAUUGGCUUAUUCCAAAAUUAAAAUGUAUUCAAGGGUCAUGUUAGAGGGAGCAAAAUGGUAUAAAAUAUAGUUUUUUCAGUUACUAUCUAGUUUUAAUUCACAUCUAU